GGGUUGUGAGGUUAAGCGACUAAGCGUACACGGUGGAUGCCCUGGCAGUCAGAGGCGAUGAAGGACGUGCUAAUCUGCGAUAAGCGUCGGUGAGGUGAUAUGAACCGUUAUAACCGGCGAUUUCCGAAUGGGGAAACCCAGUGUGUUUCGACACACUAUCAUUAACUGAAUCCAUAGGUUAAUGAGGCGAACCGGGGGAACUGAAACAUCUAAGUACCCCGAGGAAAAGAAAUCAACCGAGAUUCCCCCAGUAGCGGCGAGCGAACGGGGAGGAGCCCAGAGCCUGAAUCAGUGUGUGUGUUAGUGGAAGCGUCUGGAAAGGCGCGCGAUACAGGGUGACAGCCCCGUACACAAAAAUGCACAUAUUGUGAGCUCGAUGAGUAGGGCGGGACACGUGGUAUCCUGUCUGAAUAUGGGGGGACCAUCCUCCAAGGCUAAAUACUCCUGACUGACCGAUAGUGAACCAGUACCGUGAGGGAAAGGCGAAAAGAACCCCGGCGAGGGGAGUGAAAAAGAACCUGAAACCGUGUACGUACAAGCAGUGGGAGCCUCUUAAUGGGGUGACUGCGUACCUUUUGUAUAAUGGGUCAGCGACUUAUAUUCUGUAGCAAGGUUAACCGAAUAGGGGAGCCGAAGGGAAACCGAGUCUUAACUGGGCGUUAAGUUGCAGGGUAUAGACCCGAAACCCGGUGAUCUAGCCAUGGGCAGGUUGAAGGUUGGGUAACACUAACUGGAGGACCGAACCGACUAAUGUUGAAAAAUUAGCGGAUGACUUGUGGCUGGGGGUGAAAGGCCAAUCAAACCGGGAGAUAGCUGGUUCUCCCCGAAAGCUAUUUAGGUAGCGCCUCGUGAAUUCAUCUCCGGGGGUAGAGCACUGUUUCGGCAAGGGGGUCAUCCCGACUUACCAACCCGAUGCAAACUGCGAAUACCGGAGAAUGUUAUCACGGGAGACACACGGCGGGUGCUAACGUCCGUCGUGAAGAGGGAAACAACCCAGACCGCCAGCUAAGGUCCCAAAGUCAUGGUUAAGUGGGAAACGAUGUGGGAAGGCCCAGACAGCCAGGAUGUUGGCUUAGAAGCAGCCAUCAUUUAAAGAAAGCGUAAUAGCUCACUGGUCGAGUCGGCCUGCGCGGAAGAUGUAACGGGGCUAAACCAUGCACCGAAGCUGCGGCAGCGACGCUUAUGCGUUGUUGGGUAGGGGAGCGUUCUGUAAGCCUGUGAAGGUGUGCUGUGAGGCAUGCUGGAGGUAUCAGAAGUGCGAAUGCUGACAUAAGUAACGAUAAAGCGGGUGAAAAGCCCGCUCGCCGGAAGACCAAGGGUUCCUGUCCAACGUUAAUCGGGGCAGGGUGAGUCGACCCCUAAG
Molecule: ribosomal RNA, 1363 nt
Filed under: Escherichia coli
Lineage: Bacteria; Pseudomonadati; Pseudomonadota; Gammaproteobacteria; Enterobacterales; Enterobacteriaceae
Description: partial 23S ribosomal RNA
Rfam family: Bacterial large subunit ribosomal RNA
Source: RNAcentral